Molecule: long non-coding RNA, 486 nt
Organism: Clarias gariepinus (North African catfish)
Lineage: Eukaryota; Metazoa; Chordata; Actinopteri; Siluriformes; Clariidae
Exons: 3
Source: RefSeq, a predicted model, not a curated record
AGUGAGAUAAUGGACUGGAAGUGCAAAUUGUGUAUAAACGUCUAUCGUUCCAGAGUCCACCUCCUCAGACACUACAGAGUAAAGCACAGCAUCUGCUCUAAAAAUUGAAGGACGGUUAUUGCUGACUAUAAAAAGGUUCUUACCAGUUACAAACAAUGGAGGCAUGUAAAAGCACAUCAGCAAGCACAGUGUCUUGUGCAAUGAUACUGCGUGUUGUUGAAGCAGACCGUGCAAGGAAAGUAAAACUUAGUGCACGACCAUCCUCCGUUAGUGCCCUUAUUCAAAUUUUAAAAGACCAACUUCAGCUGGACCUUGAGUUCAGUUUACAAUAUGAGGACCCUGAUUUUAAUAAUCAGCUGACUUCCUUGGAUGAUAUAAAUUAGUUGCCUCAAAAGGCAGUGGUCCAUAUCCUGCCAGUGGAAUCAGAGGGCUCCACUACAUCUACUGAAAUUCUAUCAGAUGUGUCGAAUUCUAAACGUUCUAAGA